Molecule: ribosomal RNA, 459 nt
Filed under: uncultured Treponema sp.
Lineage: Bacteria; Pseudomonadati; Spirochaetota; Spirochaetia; Treponematales; Treponemataceae
Description: partial 16S ribosomal RNA
Rfam family: Bacterial small subunit ribosomal RNA
Source: RNAcentral
ACGGAAGGCAGCAGCUAAGAAUAUUCCGCAAUGGACGAAAGUCUGACGGAGCGACGCCGCGUGGAUGAUGAAGGCCGAGAGGUUGUAAAAUCCUUUUGAACUGGAAGAAUAAACAGUGCAGGUAAUGGCAUUGUGGUGACGGUACAGUUUGAAUAAGCAACGGCUCAUUACGUGCCAGCAGCCGCGGUAACACGUAAGUUGCGAGCGUUGUUCGGAAUUAUUGGGCGUAAAGGGCAUGUAGGCGGUUAUCUAAGCUUGGUGUGAAAGGCAGGGGCUCAACUCCUGGACUGCAUUGAGAACUGGAUGACUAGAGUUACUGAAGUGGAAUCAGAAUUCCAGGUGUAGGGGUGAAAUCUGUAGAUAUCUGGAAGAAUACCAAUGGCGAAGGCAGGUUGCAGGCAGAUAACUGACGCUGAGGUGCGAAGGUGCGGGGAGCAAACAGGAUUAGAUACCCUGGUA